RNAcentral lists this microRNA precursor (126 nucleotides) under Medicago truncatula (barrel medic). RNAcentral describes it as "miRNA gene15900". It matches the Rfam family "MIR168 microRNA precursor family". Lineage: Eukaryota; Viridiplantae; Streptophyta; Magnoliopsida; Fabales; Fabaceae. The record is from Rfam by way of RNAcentral.
CUCACUUCGCUCUCUAAUUCGCUUGGUGCAGGUCGGGGAUCAUUACAUCCGCGGUUUCCAUAGCAAUGGUUACACGUGGUGAAUUGGAUCCCGAUUGUAUCAAUCGAAUUGGAGGUCGCAGUGAAU